RNAcentral lists this non-coding RNA (25 nucleotides) under Mus musculus (house mouse). The record is from RNAcentral. Lineage: Eukaryota; Metazoa; Chordata; Mammalia; Rodentia; Muridae.
UACAUUGAUGCCACUGAUUCUGUGG